This 492-nucleotide ribosomal RNA is filed under the name uncultured bacterium. RNAcentral's name for it is "partial 16S ribosomal RNA". It matches the Rfam family "Bacterial small subunit ribosomal RNA", at positions 29 to 507 of the family's 1533-position model. The record is from RNAcentral.
AGUGAACGCUGGCGGUAGGCCUAACACAUGCAAGUCGAACGGCAGCACAGUAAGAGCUUGCUCUUACGGGUGGCGAGUGGCGGACGGGUGAGGAAUACAUCGGAAUCUACUUUUUCGUGGGGGAUAACGUAGGGAAACUUACGCUAAUACCGCAUACGACCUACGGGUGAAAGCAGGGGAUCUUCGGGCCUUGCGCGAUUGAAUGAGCCGAUGUCGGAUUAGCUAGUUGGCGGGGUAAAGGCCCACCAAGGCGACGAUCCGUAGCUGGUCUGAGAGGAUGAUCAGCCACACUGGAACUGAGACACGGUCCAGACUCCUACGGGAGGCAGCAGUGGGGAAUAUUGGACAAUGGGCGCAAGCCUGAUCCAGCCAUACCGCGUGGGUGAAGAAGGCCUUCGGGUUGUAAAGCCCUUUUGUUGGGAAAGAAAAGCAGCAGGUUAAUACCCCGCUGUUCUGACGGUACCCAAAGAAUAAGCACCGGCUAACUUUGUG